GUUAUGGAUAAAGCAAUGAGAUUGGAGUUCGAAACUGUCUCGUCCCUUGUGAUGGAUGAAUUUACAGUAUGGUUAUUCCGCUUAUCAGACGGUGUGCUGAUUUCAAAAUUCCAAAAUAUUAUGAACGUUUACUUUUGGUGGGAGUAUUUGAUUUCGCUGUGCAUACAUGACGCGUAGCGAUUCUGUCUCGUGCUCCGUAGUUAUUAUCUGCAGUCAGUUGCUACUUUUCUGUGCCCACCAGCUGUUCGACAAAAAUGCCAACUAAUCAAGAUGAAACCUUGAUCACUUGAACAUUUCUUCUUCUCUUUCGUCAAUGACGGCUAGGGAAAAAGUUUCUGCUUGAUUUCUCCACCUAAAGAUAGUCUUCAAUGGAAAUGUUCAAGGCAUCCCUAUCUGCACAAUCUUCACCACUUCCUUUCCAAGUCGCAGUAUCAUAGCCCUCAAAACCAUUCCACCAAAACUCAUCAGAAUCAUCAGCUCCAACAAUGCCAUUCCUUUCCUCCAUUUUCUUCUCACUCUCCUGACUUUGUGCCACCCCACUUGAACUUCCGCCGGCAGCAAUGUUUCUGGCGUCAACAUCCAUGCCAACAUCGGAAGCCACCUUCUGAACAGACCUUGGAGACAUGUCCCUCAGCUGACCACUGUAAGAAGACAAGGUGUCUGGCAAGUUAAGUUUGUCCAACGAAGAAGGCCUCCUGAGACAGUAUACGGCGACGUCGUGGGCAACCGCCGCCGCCUCCGGCGUGACGUAGGUUCCCAGCCAGAGCCGCUCUUGGGUGCCCGGAACGCGAAUCUCCGACACCCACUUGCCCCAUUUGCGACGGCGAACACCCUUAAACUUGUGGUCCCUGCUUGGACAAAUUGCAUGCAGCGCUGAACUUUUACUCAUUUGGGUAACCGAGAUUAUGGUAUCUGUA
Molecule: small RNA, 917 nt
Filed under: Vigna angularis var. angularis
Lineage: Eukaryota; Viridiplantae; Streptophyta; Magnoliopsida; Fabales; Fabaceae
Description: Non-protein coding transcript
Source: RNAcentral